CCCUUAGAUGUUCUGGGCGGCCCGCGCACUACAUUGGCACUGGCAACAAGAUCCUAGAUCUGGUAUUUCGGGGUAUUCUACCAACUGGUGUCGUGACUGGGAUUAACCCCUGCAAUUAUUGGUUAUGAACGAGGAAUUCCUUGUAAUCACGGUUUAUCAACCCGUGUUGAAUGCGUCCCUGCCCUUUGUACACACCGCCCGUCGCUCCUACCGAUGAAUCGUCCGGUGAAGUUCAUGGAGUCGCGGCUGCUCCAACUGUUUUCGAAGUGAAAUGGACCUCAUGAUUUAGAGGAAGGAGAAGUCGUANCA
This 309-nucleotide ribosomal RNA is filed under the name uncultured eukaryote. Its description in RNAcentral is "partial 18S ribosomal RNA". It matches the Rfam family "Eukaryotic small subunit ribosomal RNA", at positions 1470 to 1796 of the family's 1831-position model. The record is from RNAcentral.